This is a long non-coding RNA of Mercenaria mercenaria, 3706 nucleotides long. RefSeq lists it as uncharacterized. The transcript is spliced from 3 exons. The record is from RefSeq and is a predicted model, not a curated record. NCBI's taxonomy places the organism in Eukaryota, Metazoa, Mollusca, Bivalvia, Venerida, Veneridae.
CAAACCGAACAAACCGCCUCCGGGGGCAGUUUGGUCGGUUUGACAAACCGGUUAGCGGUUUUUGAAAACAAAUGACACAAACCUUUUCGAGAUCAAAACCAGUUUUACAAAAUAAAUCGAAAGUUUGGCAAACCGGUUUGAAACCGAACUGAGUUUGUUACAAACAAAAGCGCCCUAAGAAAUCCGUGAUUUUACUUGCAGGCAUGACUGAUUAAUGGAAUUAUUUUACUUUUAUAUAGAAUAUGGACGGCACUCCAGUACAGCAUGUGCAUGGUUGGCCUGUUGACAAUUUUAGAAACGCAUCUUGGUCUAUUAUACAGAGUAUUGUUGUACUGCUCCAAAGUGCUUGUUGACAGACUGAAACCACUUGCUUGCGGCUCAUAAGGUUCACUUCUUGAGAGCAGGCAGCUACAAAAUGGAAGGUCAACAAAUCCAGUAUACUUGAAAAGCAAGAAAGAAACACCAGAAAAUAUAAAAAGACAGAAGAACAAGGGAACUUUAAAAAAAAAAACUUUUAAGGAUAGGAAUUCAGGAUUUAUUUAGAAACUAAAUUUAUUUUGAGAAGAGCAGUGUUUGACAAAGCGCUCUGUUACUUUAAGAGAUAAUGUAUUAUCACAUUGGUUUUGUUAUUGUCGAGCCCGCUUGUGGAAGCGAAGACAUAGUUGUCCAAAUGUCUAUUUGGCAUAUGUGCGUGCGUGCGUCCGUCCAUCCGGAUUUGUUUGUCCGGACCAUAAUUUGGACAUGCAUGGAGCAAUCUUGUUUAUGUAUAGUAUGAAUGUUAACCUCAGUGAGACGGAGUGUCAUGCGCAAGCCCCAGGUUCCUAUCUCAAAGGUCAAGAUCACACUUACAGGUCAAAGGUCAAAUUCAGAAAUGACUGUCCGGAGCAUUUCUUCUUCAUGCAUGGAGGGAUUUUGAUGUAACUUGGCACAAUUGUUCACCAUCAUGAGAUGGAGUGUAUUGCGCAAGAACCAGGUCCCUAGGUCUAAGGUCAAGGUCACACUUAGAGGUCAAAGGAUACAAGAAUGACAACUUUGUCUGGAGCAUUUCUUCUUCAUGCAUGGAUGGACUUUGAUGUAACUUGGCACAAAUGUUCACCACCAUGAGAUGGAGUGUCAUACGGAAGAACCAGGUCCCUAGGUCUAAGGUCAAGGUCACACUUAGAGGUCAAAAUUCAGAUACAAAAAUGACUGUCUGGAGCAUUUCUUUUUGAUGCAUAGAUGGAUUUUGAUGUAACUUGGCACAAUUGUUCAUCAUCAUGCGACGGAAUGUCAUGCAAAAGAUCCUAGAAUUACUUCCCUUUGUUGUUACUAUAAAUAGCUUACAUUUGUAACUUUUUUAUUACUGGUCGUAGGGAAAAAUCAAGACUACUUUUCUGCAGUACAACAUGCAUGUUACAUCCAAUUUUUAGGUGUAUUUUGACCUAUCUCUGCUGGUGCGGAUUUUUUUUAAUUUUUUUUUUUUUAAUUUUUUUUUUAAAUUUUACGUUCCUUUGUUGUUACUGUAAAUAACUUAUAUUGUAACUUUUUGCAAUCUCUUUUAUUUGGCAUAAAUGUUUGCCUCAAUGAGACAAGGAGUGUCAUGCACAACUCCCAGUCCUUUUGACAGCUGGCGGGCUUGACAUAUUGCCCGUGGGUAUCUAGUUCUCAUAUUUUUCAUGAGAUUUUAAAGAGAAUGUUCUGUUUUACCCCCAUGUAGUAAGCUUGUUUGUCUUUCAGUCAGUAGGUUUUCAUGGCUUCCAGGUGAUAACUCAUGAAAAGCUUGACCGCUUUAAAUAUUUUUUGUACAUAGUUACAGGUCAAGUUCGACUUCGGGGUCAGUAGGUCAAAGGUCAAGAUAACUUGCAAACGCUUUGGCCUGGGAUCAUAGCUUUUGUAACACAGGUGUAACAUGAUAAAAUACAGGUUGUUUGAAUUUGAGGUCAAUAGAUCAAAGGUCAAGGUCACAGUGACCUUGAACAGUUGAGCCGUUUCUGAAUGAUAACUUGAGACCUUGAGCCUAGGAUGAUAAAGUUUGGUACACAGGUGUCACAUCAUGAAAUACAGGUCAAGUUUUAUUUUGAGGUCAGUAGGUCAAGGUCACAAUAAGGCAAAACAGUGAAAUGUUUUUCAGAUUAUAACUUGAGAAUGCUUGUGCCUAGGAUCAUGAAAAUUGUUAGGGAGGUUGAUUAUGACCAGCAGGUGACCCCUAAUGAUGUUGAGGUCACAGGUAAAGGUCACACUGACCCGGUUCUUUAAAAUGAUGCACGGAGGGGCACAUGGGGUCUUCCUCCACCAUUAAAACUGGAAAGUCGCCAUAUGACCUAUCCUGUGUCGGUGUGAUGUUAAGUUCAACAAAAUAAAUAACUGUUCUUUAAAACGGGUUUUGGACAAUAACUUCAGGAUGCUUUGGAUGAGAAACACAAAAUUUAGUACAAAGUUGGUUUUGACCAGCAGAUUACCUGUAUUGAUUUAGAGUUCCAAAGGUCAGGAUGACCCGGAACAUUUAAACCUUUUCCAUACAACAACUUGAGAACACUUUGGCGGAGGAUCAUGAAACUAUAGAGAUUGAAUUUGAGGUCAUUAGGUCAUAGCUCAAGAAAAUGCUGCUUUGAUAUUGGCUUAGUUCUGUGAUAAGGCCAUAUUGUAGAGUAUAAUUCGUCACUCCUGUGACAACUCUAGCGUUUAGCUCACCUGAGCACAAAGUGCUCAAGGUGAGCUUUUGUGAUAGCCCUGCGUCCGUCCGUCGUCAACAAUUUGACUGUUAACACUCUAGAGGUCACAAUUUUGACCUAAUCUUUAUGAAACUUGGUCAGAAUGUUACCCUCAAUAAAAUCUUGGACACAUUUGAUAUUGGGUUAUCUUGGAUCAAAAACUAGGUCACCAAGUCAAAUCAAAGGAAAAGCUUGUUAACACCGUAGAGGUCACAUUAAAGGCUAUAUCUUCAUGAAACUUGGUCAGAAUGUUAAUCUUUAUGAUCUCAAGGUCCAGUUUGAAUCUGGGUUAUGUAGGGUCAAAAAUUAGGUCACUAGGUCAAAUCAAAGGAAAAACUAGUUUACACUCCAGAAGCCAAAUUUAUGACCAUAUCUUAAUCUUAAUGAAACUUUGUCAGAAUUUUAAUCUUGAUGAUCUAUAGGCCAAGUUAAAUCUAGUUCAGGUGGGAUUAAAAAUUCGGUCACUAGGUCAAAUCAAAGGAACAGCUCGUUAACACUCCAGAGGCCACAUUUAUGACUGCAUCUUCAUGAAACUUCACCAAAAUGUUAAUCUUGAUGAUCUUUCAGUCAAGUUUGAAUCUGGGACAUGUGGGGUCAAAAACUAGGUCACCAAGUCAAACCAAAGGAAAAGCUAGUUAACUCUUUAGAGGCUACAUUUAUGAUCAUAUCUUAAUGUAACUUGGUCAGAAUGUUGAUCUUGAUGAUCUUUAUGUCAAUAUGUCAGGUGAGCGAUACAGGGCCAUCAUGGCCCCUCUUGUUUAUUUGUUCUUGUUGUAAGAGAAAUUGUACAUUUUAGAAAACAGAUUACAGCAAGUCACAUUUUCUUUAUUUUGACAAUACUUAUUUCAAAGCCUGACAAAAGCAUCCAGUACUGUUAUUAAAAGUUGUUAUUCACAGUUCAGCUAUAUUUCAUGUAUGGAUAAAACAAGUUGUGUGAUCUGUGAUCAUUAUAAAUGUGUAUACAGAUAAAACUUAAACAUGUGAACAGUUUAUUCAAUAAAUAAAGUGUAAUGCAA